RNAcentral lists this ribosomal RNA (257 nucleotides) under uncultured bacterium. RNAcentral's name for it is "partial 16S ribosomal RNA". It matches the Rfam family "Bacterial small subunit ribosomal RNA", at positions 524 to 776 of the family's 1533-position model. The record is from RNAcentral.
UACGUAGGGCGCAAGCGUUGUCCGGAAUUAUUGGGCGUAAAGAGCUCGUAGGCGGUUUGUCGCGUCUGGUGUGAAAACCUCAGGCUCAACCUGGGGCGUGCAUCGGGUACGGGCAGACUAGAGUGCGGUAGGGGAGACUGGAAUUCCGUGGGUGUAGCGGGUGGAAUGCGCAGAUAUCAGGAGGAACACCGAUGGCGAAGGCAGGUCUCUGGGCCAAUACUGACGCUCAUGCACGAAAAGCGUGGGGAGCAAACAGG